GAAACAAUUAAACGGCCGCGGUACCCUAACCGUGCAAAGGUAGCGUAAUCACCUGUCUAUUAAUUGUAGACCCGUAUGAAAGGCAAAAUGAGAGUCUGCCUGUCUCUUAUAAUAAAUCAAUUAAACUGAUCUCCUAGUAAAAAAGCUAGAAUACCAACAUAAGACCAGAAGACCCUGUGAAGCUUAAACUAAACUAUUAAACCCUAUAAUACCUACUUUCGGUUGGGGCGACCUUGGAAAAAAAAAGAACUUCCAAACAUAUGACCAUAACUCAUUCAUCAGGCCAACAAGCCUAACACGACCCAGUACAACUGACAACUGAAACAAGUUACUCCAGGGAUAACAGCGCUAUCUUCUUCAAGAGUCCAUAUCAAAAAGAAGGUUUACGACCUCGAUGUUGGAUCAGGACAUCCUAAUGGUGCAGCCGCUAUUAAGGGUUCGUUUGUUCAACGAUUAACAGUCCUACG
This 467-nucleotide ribosomal RNA is filed under the name Imantodes cenchoa (blunthead tree snake). RNAcentral's name for it is "partial large subunit ribosomal RNA". It matches the Rfam family "Bacterial large subunit ribosomal RNA", at positions 1914 to 2600 of the family's 2925-position model. The record is from RNAcentral. Lineage: Eukaryota; Metazoa; Chordata; Lepidosauria; Squamata; Dipsadidae.